This 77-nucleotide transfer RNA is filed under the name Pseudomonadota bacterium. Its description in RNAcentral is "tRNA-Ile". It matches the Rfam family "tRNA". Rfam says of the family: Transfer RNA (tRNA) molecules are approximately 80 nucleotides in length. Their secondary structure includes four short double-helical elements and three loops (D, anti-codon, and T loops). RNAcentral also lists the same sequence under 1 other name. The record is from RNAcentral. Lineage: Bacteria; Pseudomonadati; Pseudomonadota.
GGGCCCAUAGCUCAGUUGGUUAGAGCAGAGAACUCAUAAUUCUUUGGUCGUAGGUUCAAGUCCUACUGGGCCCACCA